This 497-nucleotide ribosomal RNA is filed under the name uncultured bacterium. RNAcentral's name for it is "partial 16S ribosomal RNA". It matches the Rfam family "Bacterial small subunit ribosomal RNA", at positions 28 to 507 of the family's 1533-position model. The record is from RNAcentral.
GAUGAACGCUGGCGGCGUGCCUAAUACAUUCAAGUCGAGCGAACGGACGAUAAUCUGGCUUCUCUAAUGUUAGCGGCGGACGGGGUAGUAACACGUGGAUAACCUACCUUUAACACUGGUAUAACUUCGGGAAACCGUAGCUAAUACCGGAUAAUAUUUGGAACCGCAUGGUUCAAAAGUGAAAGACUUUCUUGCUGUCACUUAUAGAUGGAUCCGCGCUGCAUUAGCUAGUUGGUAAGGUAACGGCUUACCAAGGCAACGAUGCAUAGCCGACCUGAGAGAGUGAUCGGCCACACUGGAACUGAGACACGGUCCAGACUCCUACGGGAGGCAGCAGUAGGGAAUCUUCCGCAAUGGGCGAAAGCCUUUCGUAGUAUCGCCGCGUGAGUUCUGAACGUCUUCUGAUUGUAACACUCUGUUAUUAGUGCAGAACAGAUGUGUAAGCUCAUGUGCACCUCUUGACGGUACCUACUCAGAAAGCUACGGCUAAAUACGUG